Molecule: long non-coding RNA, 12261 nt
Filed under: Chlamydomonas reinhardtii
Lineage: Eukaryota; Viridiplantae; Chlorophyta; Chlorophyceae; Chlamydomonadales; Chlamydomonadaceae
Description: long non-coding RNA (CREI_LNC000603)
Source: RNAcentral
GGCGGGUCGGGAGGAGGAGGGGAAGGCGGAGGGGGAGGAGGAGGUGGGGGAGGCGGAGACGGAGGAGGUGGAGAGGGGGGCUCGGGCGACGGAGGAGGUGGAGAGGGGGGAGGAGGCGAGGGAGGGGGCGGAGAGGGAGGAGGAGGCGACGGGGGCGGCGGGGACGGAGGAGGAGGCGACGGGGGAGGCGGAGACGGAGGAUCGGGAGAGGGAGGGGGAGGAGGCGGCGGGCUGGGAGGUGGAGGCGACGGGGGAGGCGGCGAAGGAGGGGGAGGUGACGGCGGCGAUGGGCUGGGCGGAGGCGGGCUGGGCGGCGGGGGAGACGGCGGCGGAGGCGAUGGAGGGGGAGGCGAAGGGGGAGGCGGCGACGGAGGCGGAGGGCUGGGCGGAGGCGGGCUCGGGGGCUCAGGUGACGGAGGCUCGGGUGAAGGUGGCAGCGGCGACGGGGGGGUGGGGGAGGGCGGAGGCGAAGGAGGAAUGGGAGGAGAGGGAGGAAUCGGCUCCGGGGGCGGUGAGGGCGGUACGGGCGGGUUCGGGGGAGGAGGUGGAGAGGGAGGACGAGGCGACGGGGGAGGAGGCGAGGGCGAGGGAGGCGGAGGCAAGGGAGGAGAAGGGCUGGGAGGCAGCGGCGACGGCGGCAGGGGGCUCGGAGGAGGAGGGCUGGGAGGGGGAGGGGAAGGCGGAGGCGGCGACGGCGGCGGGGGGCUGGGGGGCGGAGGGCUGGGAGGGGGAGGGGAAGGUGGGGGAGGAGAAGGUGGAGGCGGGGAGGGCGGCGGCGGGCUGGGAGGACGAGGGCUGGGAGGAGGAGGGGAAGGUGGAGGCGGGGAGGGCGGCGGCGGGCUAGGCGGAGGAGGGUUCGGAGGAGGCGGGCUGGGCGGCGGGGGGCUCGGCGGCGGCGGCGAGGGAGGAGGAGGCGAGGGCGGCUGCGGGCUCGGCGGCGAGGGCGGCUCCGGGCUCGGCGGCUCCGGUGACGGAGGGGGAGCGUCAGGAGGCGAGGGGCUGGGCGGCAGCGGGCUCGGCGGCCGCGGGGGCCGCGGGGGCGGCGGGCUGGGCGGCGGCGGGCUGGGCGGCGGGCUGGGGGGCGCGGGGUCCACCGCGACGAACGACUCCUUGGUUGACACGGUGGGGGUGGUGCUGACCUUCUCAGUGUCCAUGUUGCAGGUGCUGGAAGACGACGAGUCGCGGGCAAACACGGAGCGCACGGUGAGUCGGGCGUCGAUGUCGAAGGGCGUGCAGCCCAGGCCGCCGGGCUGCAGGGCGUCCACGUUGAACUGGAAGGUGUAGCAGGCGAAGGUGGCCCAGCUGGAGCUGGGCGAGCGCGUCUGCGUACGGAUGCAAGGCACGUGGAAAGGAGUUGGACGGCAGGAGAAGGGGUCAGCGCACCAAGUAAUUUGCAUUGGACGCACGGUCCUGGCUGCACUGCAAGUGGCACGAAGGCCCGGCGCCCGCCGCGUUCUUUCUCCCCCAACCGUGUCGCUUCCUUGCCACCCACUCACAACACGCCUCCGCUACUGCACCCACCAGGCUCGAGACGGCGGUGCCGGCCUGGCCGUUGAGCACGUAGCUCAGCAGCAGGAAGCUGUUGGUGUCCACGCCGCUAGAGUCGGUCUUGGGCGACCACAGCAGGUAGGGGCAGGUCAUCUGGACCGUCGCGUAUAGCAUGCCGGAGGAAGUGCGGAACACGGUGGCCUUGCCCACGGUCACUGUGUUGCCGCUGGUGUCCUGGUUGGUCACGGCAAUCGUCUGCAGCGCCAGCACGCCCCGGUUGUUCUUGCACACCUGUUGGGGCGAGGGGCGGACGCAACAGGCGGCGACAGGGGGUCGUGAAGUCGGGUCAAGCGAGUUGUGGCGUAAUGUCAAGUACAGUGGACGUCAGGCAGUCUUUUCCUCCAAGGUCCCAGACUGCUGUACACUCACGUCGCUGUCGGGGUAGGAGCCCUUGAGGUACUGCGGCACCUUGCAGAUGAUGCCGUCAGUGCCGAAGUUGUCAACGGUGCUGCACUUGCCUGCGGGCAUGGAACAAGGGGGUAGCGGCGCGGGCGGCAAGCGCAUGAAGUUGGAGGUCAGGCUCGCAUGAAACACGCACGUGUAACACGCAUGUAGGCAAAUCCCGGGCGCAGCACAGACACGCACAGCGGCAACUAGAGGCUGGGUGGCCCGGCCGGGCAGCUCACCCAGGCAGGGCGGGCAGGACGCGAGGCCGCCGGCGUAGCAGUAGUCCACCUCGCGCCCGUUGGUGGGCGGCGGCGGAGGCGGCGAGGGUGAAAUCGAGGGCGGCGGCAUGUCCUGCAGCUGGCAGGUGGAGGAGCAGCCGUCGCCGUCCAACACGUUGCCGUCACUGCGGGGUUGGCGGCGCGGGGUUCACAUUCAUUGAAUAUUUAAGAUGUGCACAGGGGAGUAGCAGGGGGUUGGCGGCGCGGGGUUCACAUUCAUCAAACAUAUAAGAUGUGCACAGUGGAGUUGCAGGCGCGGGCAGGAGUGGGGUUUGCAGUGGAGCAGAGCGGUGUCAAACGCGUGUUGCUUCUCCUCAAAGAAAGCAGAACAAAAGCACAGGGUGAGCAGCGCCCACGCAGUGGGGCACUCACUCGCACUGCUCGUCAGGGUCCAGGAUGCCGUCGCCGCAACGCCAGCAGUCCUCAUCAAGCUUGUCAAUUAAGCCGUCGCCGUCGUUGUCAAUGCCAUCGUAGCCUGGCCACGAAAGGGCGGACAGAGGCAGGAGGUGGGCCAUUGCACGUGUCAGAUGAAGGCGCCGCCCAAUGGAAGGCAUGUGCGAGCAGCCAUUAUCGUCUUCCUCAGCAAGCAGACGCACAGCAAAAAGUCCCGACCGCGAUUAGAUAGGUGAACACACGCACAUACACCCGCUCCCCUUGUCCUUUCCUCACACAAACACACACGGCCGCGCACUCACAGUUCUCGGCGGUGAGAAUGGUGUUCUGGUUGCACAGCACUGUGGCACGGCAGUUCUGGUUGGGGCCGUACGGCUCCGGGCACAGGCGCGCCUGGGUGGCAAGCACGCGCAGGCCGUUCCUGCACAUAUGUCGGGGAACUCACAGACCUGAGUCAUCUGGGCAUGUGUGCGCAUUUACUUCGUGUGUGGCUGGCAGAGCCACGUUGGUGGGGUGGCGUUCAGGUGCCGAACUCACCAGUCGAUGGGCCCGGUCCAGUAGCCGUGCCAGUACACGUGGUCCACGUUGCUGCGGGCGCAUGGCGGUGGUGCGGUGGGGCAGGGCGUACAUGCAAUGUUCAGGACAGGGCCAGCAUGCAGCACAAUGGAACAUAUGUACGGUGUGGGCAGCAGGGCGCGGGGGCGGCAGCCCCUGGCAACAUGGAGUCAAGCAUGGUGCGGACAUGGUGUGCAUGUGCAUACGCGCCGCGGCUGCUCAUCACUCACUCGCUGUUGGUGACGGGGCUGAUCUGCAUCAUGUCCUCCGUCACGUCCGCGUCCUGGAAAUCCAGAGCCGUGAAGUUGAGCGGCACAGGCAGGAAGCCGUAGCUAUCCUUGCCAAAGCCCGCCUGCGAGGUGGCGUGGCGCAUGUAUGGUCAUGUGUUCAUAACCGAAGAGGCAGUGGUAGAGGGUGGACCCCGGUGCGUGCAUGCGUGUGCAACGCGAGCGAGGCCCUUCGAUACGAAGGCACACGGAAGCACGCAACCGCGCACACCUACCUGCGUGAGAACCACCAUGGAUCCACCGCGCUUGUUGACAUAGUUGAUGAUGUCGGCCUUGAUGCUAAUCAGCGCCUUGUUAAGCGUCGAGGAGAUGCCGCCGGGCGUGUUCAGGUCUGCGGGCGUUGGACGGGGCAGCGACGAGCGGGCGUUUGUUAUGCACGGACAAAAGCCAGGCUAAAGAGCAGUGGGCGGGCAUGUGAAGCGCUCACGCACCGUUAGAGGGGAUGUAGAGCAUCUUGUAGGAGCUGAGGUUGGCGUUGGUCACGGCGGCCGCAGUGGUGGCGUAGGUGAUCUUAGACACCGGGUAGUUGGCACUUGCCACCCAUCCCUCGAUGGAGUUCCUGUGUGCGCAAACGGGAAGAAGGUCGCAAACAGGCAGCGGGGUGCGCACGAUCGCAUCAGCAUUGCUGCAGUUGCGGUGCGACCGCUGCGAUUUGCGCCCCUAGCAGAUCCGACCCAUUUAUUUCCAUCUCCUCACUUCUGCCACAAACCCCUGCCUCAGGCCCUGCGAGACACCCCGCUCUGUUAUGCCUUCUUCCACUUACCUAGCCUGGGUGUUGGCCUUGAAGGUCCCCACUGCCAGGAUGCCAUCGGCGUCGGCCGGUGCAAACGAGAUAGCCAUACUGCAUGGACAAGAUGCAUGGGCAGGCACGGAGGUAAGACAACUCCGCUGUUCAUACGUGUCGAGGGGUGUGCUGAAUACGUGUUCUGAGGACUAGCGAUGCCAAAAGACCGCAUACGCCCACAGCUGCACCGUUAGCUUGAAGCACAGACACGCUCAUAAACACACAUGCACAUCGACCAACCUGAUGACAUUGCUGUACAGAGCACCGCAGCGAGUGCCCUGACAAUGAACCUGCGAGGAAGGAAAGGAACGAGGGACGAGGAGCAGGCCAGGUCAGCACGCACGCGUCAGGCAUGUCGGCCCAGCCCGCAGGUCCAGCUUCCGGGAGCCAGAUGCAACGUGCGCACUGACAAAGCAUUGCGGCAUUGCAGCACUGCUGCCCUGACGUGCGGCACUCACCGCGUCAUCGGCGUCGUCAGACGAGAAGAAGGUGAAACCUCCCUUGCCCUUGUCCAUCCGGAAACUGGCGGGCGGAACCGGGGGGUUCGGGGGUGGGCUCGGCGGCGGCGGGCUUGGGGGGCUGGGCGGGCUCGGCGGCCGCGGGCUGGGCGGCUUGGGACUCGGCGGCGAAGGGCUGGGCGGCUUGGGGCUGGGCGGCCGAGGGCUGGCCUUUGGCGACGCCUGGUUCACUGCGGGGUUGCGGACAAGUGUGAGGGGCACGGACUUGGGACAUGUCUGUAUGCGGGACUGGGUUCAGCAAGGUGGGCUGGUCCCGGCCCGUUGUAAGGGGGGGCGGGCUAGCACAUGGGUUAGAAGCUGUGGGGAAGGAGCGCUUGGUAAAGCCCCACGCCUAGUAAUGAUGAGUGGGGGGGAGCGAGUUGAGACCGCAAUGGGGUGGAGAACACAAUGGGCUGGGGUAGGAGGAGCUCGAAGGCCCAGAGGACUGAGGAAGGUGCGAGGGCGGGUCUGUGGCAAGCCUGCGGAAGGUCACACUCCGCUCGUCCCCAGCGCUAUGACCGACGCCAAGCCAACAUGCGCUAGUGACGCGACACUCACGUCUGCGGCGGAAUAACGUUGUCUCCGUGGCGUCACUUGUGGACAUCUCCAUGGACACGCGCGCUGCGUUCGCGGAGAAUGCGAACGCAACCAGCGCCACAACCAGCAUGUGGCCGAGCCAUGGUGAGAACAACCUCCUCCCCAUGGCAACCCCCUGCAGAAUGGUUGUACAGGCAUCAAGUAGCUCAACAUCUGGUCAUGCAGGGCCAACAUUGUGCGAGAGAGGAUGUUGAGUAAGGUUCGGCCCUGUGAAGAAAAUUUUGCUUGGUUGAAGGUCCUUGGUUCUUCCUACUACGCAGUCCCUGUCUACGAAUAUAGACAGCCAGAUACACCUACCGACGCUAGCAGCGCCAGCGAGGGUGCUCCGUCAGGUCGAGCGAUGCGCGGGAGUGGCCCCGCACGCCGCUGUCUGCAGAAUUACGUCCUUUGGGUGCUCUGUUAUGGCGACCACUUGUUGAGCUGCGCAAGAGCAACGUCUUUGUCAGAAACCAGUGUCCAAAAAUACCACACCCAAACGCUUCGUCAAGCGGAAAGCGCAGGUAUUAGCUUCAUGAGCACGCGAAUACGCAGCUUAUAUAUUUAUGGCGAGGCUCAGGGGCGCACCUGGGCAAUUCAAUGCCGGCGCAAAAUGACGAGCAACCACCAAUGAUGCAAACUCGGCGACGCUGCGAGUUUCACGUGCAGGAUGAUUUAGUGCUUGUGAAGGUAUGCUUACGGGCUCGCCACAGUACUAGUAUGUUCUCUUAGGAGCCUGCGUUAAGCGGGCGAACAACUGAGCUUUGUCACAACUGCACUGUCUCUGCAAAUGUAUGUCAGUGUCUUUACUUUGUUACAGCAACGUGUGUGAAUCGGGCCAUAUGACAUGCCUCCGCACUGACGAGCACGAUUACGAAAACACUUGCAUGGGGCGCACCCGACGAAGUCAGGACGCAGGCCGAGCGUAGCCGGAGUUCGUCCAGCUGGACUUAUUUUACGUUGAAUUAUCGAUGCUAUAGAUUAGAGAAAGCUCUCAGGCAGGAGAAGCUACCUCAAGCCCGUGCAAAACGCGUUUGCCCCCGUCUGCAGUUUCUCUCCGACUCCCUUUCAUGCACAAGAAAGGAAGAGCCAAAUCUAUCAUAGGCCUUAAACUGGUGAAGACUGUGUCAUGUCGGACACGAAACUUACCUUACCUCAUCGGCGCACCGACGGCGGCAACCGCCCUAAACACAACGCAACGCUGGACUGGGGCGGUAUCGGUCAUCUUGUGCUUUGAGUUGUAGCUUUGGUGGCAUCUCUGGGGCCAGGGUAGUGAUGCAGCACCCGCGUCGCACGCGUCGCUUGUCUGUCGCGGCGGCACGUGGCUGCACGGCCGCCGCACCACCUGGCCUUUGAAGGCCACCGUGCGUGGUUAGCCCCAGGGAGCCAUGGAACCGUGGAACUUCAGGGCAAGCCCGUUUACUGCUACACGCUAUGUGCAUGGUUGUUAUACUUUUGCACAGCGGGUGCAGGUUUGGGCAGGGGGGCAGGUGCAGGUUUGGGCAGGGGGGCAGGUGCAGGUUUGGGCGGGGGCAGGUGCAGAUUUGGGCAGGGGGGGCAGGAGCAGGUUUGGGCGCGGGCAGGUGCAGGUUUGGGCGGGGGCAGGUGCAGGUUUGCGCAGGGGGGCAGGUGCAGGUUUGGGCGGGGGCAGGUGCGGGUGUAGGGCGGGGUACAUGGACUUGGGCCUGGGAUGCCGAACUGCUAGCGGCAGCCAGGGCGGCCAAAGGGCGUGCCUCGAGUUGAAAAGUCUCGCUGUGUGGCGGCAGGCCGCCAAGCUGAGGAGCAAGGGCUGGUGCGUGCACCGACGGGGAACAGAGCUGGCGGGAGAAAGGUGGCAAGCAUCCGCGCUGCCGCAUUCCGCACCCUGAUGGUGAAGGUCCCGCUCGGUUGUCUCGCAUCACGCACUCCAAUAGUAAGUGCGUUGGACAUCGCAACUCAGCAGGGUUUCACUGCUGCCCAGAUUAGCAGCUUUGCAUCCACCUGUGUGUGUGCAUUCGGUAGUGCCUGUAUGUAGUCUUGAAGGAAACGAAAUGCGCAUCCUGCGCAUGUAGUAGCGGGUGUCCUUUGGCAUGACAUCAGGCGGAGGAGCCCUGAUGUUUACUGUACCAGGGGAAUACAGCAAGACCGGAUGUGUGCGGAUUCCCCUUUUGUGCAGCUCCCGCAGUGUGGUACCCUGUACACUUCCAGCGCGCAGCUUCCUUGCGUGAGCCCAGCCCGUGCGCCCAGCCCUGCGUUACGCAUGUAGGUGGGCGUGGGGGACACGGGUGGCUUGCCCCCGGCUGGCCAAGGGUUUCGGGGCCUCGGAAAGGAGUUACAGUGCCUUCCAUCGGUGCGGCAUGCCCCCAUGGUGGGCCAUCCGUGGCUCUCGCCAGUACCGCUCCCCCGCCAGCUUCUGGGAUGUCCACCGCACAGCUGCCGGACAUUUGUUUGGGCUGAGCCAAAGCCGACGCCAACUCGGCUACAAACAUGCGGCACGCGCUGAUGGAGAUGCUGCUUGGCAAACCGCGGCCUGCAGCCCUGCGACCUGCUGGCGGCGGUGGCGGUGCAGGGCCUGGCGGCGGCGGUGGCGGCGGUGCAGGGCCUGGAGACGGCGGUGGCGGCGGCGGUGGCACCGCGCCUACCGGCGGCAACAGCAGCGGCCACAGCGUUGGGCCCGGUGGUGGCGGCGGCACGGGCGGCCCUGGGCCCAGCGGCAGUGGCGGCGCGCAUAUUCGGAGCAGAGGGGGCGGGCAAGGCCACGUGGAGGAGGACAGCGCGGCGCCGCCCAAGAAGCGGCGCAAGGCUGAGGAGCCGGCUGGCGGUGUCUAGGUAGCGGUCUGCGGUGGGGCUGGCAGGGCAUGCGUAGCGGCAUGACAAGUAGUGCGGCUGUUGACAACUGUGCUGCGUCUGGCUGCGGUUGGCUCUGCUGUGGCAUCGCGACUGCUAGAUAGGCACCUGGUUGGCUUGCCCCUUCCCCCGAAGGGGGAGGGGCAAUAGCCAUUGCGGUCGCCGUAGCUCCUCGAAGCGUAGCGUAGAGCAGAGCGGAGGACUACACCACUUUAGCACCCAGCGUACCCUGGACGGCACCCUGGACCGGCUUCUCGCACACACACGUUGCACGCACGCACGCAGCGCCACACUAUAGCAUGUAAUGCAGUGAAUUGCAACGCGGCUUGGGUUACGCGCGAAGCACGAGCGCGGCAGGCGUAGAAGGAAAAAAGUUGCUUCUCGCACACACGCGUUACACGCACACACGCAGCGCCACACUAUAGCAUGUAAUGCAGUGAAUUGCAACACCGGUUUGGUUACACGCGAAACACGAGCGCGGCAGGCGUUGAACAAAGAAAGCUAUGUGGCGCCCAGGGCAGGUGCCCUGGUGGCGCCAGUUUCGCGUUUUGCACAUGCAGGCCACUGCACAGAAUAGCAUGUAAUGCAAAGUACUGAGCAUGCGAGCGUGGAACGCCAGCGUCGGUGAAGCCGGCGAGACGGGGAAGUCGGCGAACUCGGCGAGGAAGGCCUAUCUCGGCACAGCUGCAAGGUAUUAGGUGCCAAGGUAUGACCAGAAUGUUACAGGAGCAGGCAGUCGGUUGCUAGGCUUAUUGGCAACCAUGCGACCAACAAUGUAUCGCAGUGUAGAUUUGCUGUGGGAAUCUAUUUUCACAUUGUAAUAUGUAGCCGCACGUAUACACAGCUGUGUAAGGAACGGGCAGGACAUAGCGUGACGAAGAACGCACGGUUAGUUGUCGGCCUUUGGCCAUUCGUCUGUGGCCUCUGCAGAAGCGGCAUAAUAGCACUGCCUUAAAGUCAGAAAAGGCAUCGCCUAGAAGCUCAUUCAAUGGGCCAGGCGUGUCAAGGAGUUAUGUCGCGCAUCGUCGAUGUUUCCUCGGCGGUGGCUGAGGCGGUGGAAAGUCGCGAGGACGGCUCCUGUGCAUUCCAAGCACUGGCGUGUGGCCUUGGGGUGGCCUGGCAACGGGAGCAGCUUCGUGUCUUCGCAGCCUGGCUGUCCGUGGCAUGACCAUACCCGCAGUCAACCGGCACCAGCCCAUGCACUACAAGUUACAUCUCGCCCGGUAUGUUCAGGUCGCACCGCCACCGUCCCUCGCCACCUUUAACAGCGCGAUCUAGUCUCCAGCACGCACUAUCCUCUAUGUGCGCCUACUUCCACGUCCUGUCCACCCCCAUCCAUUUGCGCCGUGCGCUUCCUCUGUCCCCGAUCUGGCACCACGCGCUCAUCCGUUUCGCAACACCACAAUCGCUGCCGCAGCGACGUCCCCAAUUACACGCAUGGCGGUCUCUAACCGUGCAACCGCUUGUGCACGCUGUGCGCGCUGCGUGUCCGCACCUCCGUCCACAGCUGCUGCUUCCCCCCUGCCAGGUGGCGUGGCUGCACCGACCAACACAGCGUCCGCUAGACCGCAAGCCCCCACUGCCUCCACCUCCUCCUGUAGCUCCAGGAUGCGCGCCCAGAGUGGCCCACCGCGCAAGCUCGCCUCCGCAUGCGUGCCUGUGGGCGACCUGGUCAGGCCUGCUGCGCCGGCGACACCGUGGCCCGCCACAGGCAGCGCCGCUGCCACUCUCUGGGUGGCUGUUUUCCAUCCGCUGCUUUGCUUAAGGGGCGGGGCCCCACAUUAGCCUGCAAGUGAAGAACGGCAGGCAUGCAGCGCUGUGAAAGUAUCCUGGGUGAGGAAGCCCGCACCCCAUCCCUCAACCCCCCACGCACCGUGCGACGCUACGUUUCCUGCCCACCGCGUUGUUGCCUGACCUGUGCGGUACACGAUGGCACGCAUGUGUUUUUUGGCAUGACUCACGGCUCUGCAGACUCGCAAGGAGGUCUAGUCUUGGUCCUGGCACGCUGCCCAUGCUUGCACACCCAUGCAUUCCCCCUGCUUCCACAGGCCUGCACCCCAGGCAGUCACCCCUGCCCAACUCGCUGCUCGAGCCACCACAGGGCUGGCCGGUGUGCUGCGCCGUGGGUUGCUGCCCCCCACACUCUUGAUGGGCACUGCAGCCGCCAGGGCACUGGCCUGCGGCCUGCCGGUCAACAGCAAGUCGCCAUCAGACACUGACACCGGCAAUGCGGCCCCCGGCGACUGAUGAGCUGCAGUGGAAGGUACCUCCGCUCCGAUCCCUCCGGUUCCUUGUGCUGCUGAUGCCACGCCCUGUGCGGAAAUGCGGCCAGAGGUUCCGCGUGCACCAGGCGUGGCCGCGCCUAGCUCUACAGACUUGCCCCCGCCGUUGGUCCAUGCCACAGCAUGCGUGCCAGCUGCCAGCCUGCACAUGGGGUUCAUCGGCAGUAUCCAGAUGUGAUCUGCUGGCAGAACAGACAGACCCGCCUGGCGCGGCGCACACUGAACAAAUCGCCAGCCACCCACCCAUUCCCCUGCCCACGCCCACGUGCACACUUACCCAAUAGCGUGUGAUGCCGCCACCACGGCAGCUACCUGCUCGCGACCCAAGGGGCGCAGGUCCGCCUUGGGCACCUCACCCGACGGCCCGGUCGCGGGCGCCUGUCCAGCCAGCUGCCGCCCGCAACACAACCUCCUGCUGCCCGCACAGCAGCUCCUGCGCAGUCUUGACGUCGUCCGCCCCCUUGACAAAGAACGCGCUGCCAUACACAUCACAACGGGCCCGCCCAACCUUGUCCACCGGUGCUUCCAGCCCUCGGACCCAUGCGCGACAGCGCUUCCCUCCAGAAGCACGACCAUGUCCCCGUGCCCGAUCUCGAACCAGGACUGCACCCCACCGAGGACAAACAUGGACCGCCCGUGGACCGCCACCCCAGGCGAGCUGCUCGAGCACCCGGCUUCGCUGGCGACUCCAGGUGCCACGCCCUGGGUCACUACGAUUCCAUGACAACGCCUUUGCAUUUACCCCCUAACCCCAAACCGCCCAGCCCUGGCAGUGCCGGGCCCCGCCCCCCCCUCCAACCCCCGCGUCCCGUCCCAUGUGCUCCGCUCCUGCUUGCAGCCUCAACCUUUCGGACCCCACCCCAGGCUCCCGCCCACCGCACCCUACCCCCCGGCUCCCGCUCCCGCCCCCCACCUAGCCCUCCACACCCCAACUCAACACGACCUGUUUUCGUAACCGCUCACCGUGGUCGGUUGCAGGUCGUGCGCCCACACGAUGACGGUCCUAUAAAAGUCCUCCUUGUCCAUGUGCUGUAGGCGCGGUGGCUCAAGGACCUGGACACUAGUUGAAAAGGUGCAUACUCCUCGUCCAGGCACAGCAUCAGCCCGCCACCCGCAAGCGGGAUGUACGCACGCCGCAGCGCCUCUGGAUACAGGCCCUGCAGCUGCUUCCCCACCUCCACGGCGUACGCUGCCACUGCCGCGCGCUCCUCCGGGGUGCCGGCGGCGUUGUGCGCGUACCAGUACGCCGCGACAUACUUGCCGCGAGUGUGCCAGCAGUUGACGCGCUUGCCCGCCGCCAUCAGCAGCUGCUUCCCUGGCGCUUGGCUACUGCGCUCGGACACCACCUUGAACGCGGACUCCGACUUUACCUGCGCAUGCCGAAGCCGGUUCCCACGGUCCGCCGUGCCUGGCCAGUAUGUACCCAGCAGCUGCAGGUCAGGCCACUCUGCAACCUGCUCGCCCCAUGCCUUGAGCAGGCCAGCGCACACCUGAAUGUUGUGCGUGGUGGGCUGGCCGGUCGAUGAGCCCCAGCCACGGCAGCAGGCACCCGUGCGCCGCUGGCCCCUGCUGCCGCACAGCUGCACGCGGCGAGGAGAGAGGAAUGCACAUCACGCAGUCACGUCAACGUGGGCUCAGUGGUCACCCAUACACGACACGAGGCAGGAGGGAGGCACGGGCGCACAGCAGAGCCACGCUGCGCUAUCGAAGCGAGCAAGGCAGCAAAGCAGGUGCGCGAAUCCGUACGUGACGCACCUGCUUGACGUUACCACGGUGGGCGGCGCCGCAACCACGGCAGCCACAGCACUUGCACUGCUGGCCGCUGCUGAAGCAUAGAGCCGGGGGGGGGGG